Molecule: ribosomal RNA, 925 nt
Filed under: uncultured bacterium
Lineage: Bacteria
Description: bacterial SSU rRNA
Rfam family: Bacterial small subunit ribosomal RNA
Source: RNAcentral
AGAGUUUGUUCCUGGCUCAGGACGAACGCUGGCGGCGCGCCUAACACAUGCAAGUCGAACGAGCGAGAGAGAGCUUGCUUUCUCGAGCGAGUGGCGAACGGGUGAGUAACGCGUGAGGAACCUGCCUCAAAGAGGGGGACAACAGUUGGAAACGACUGCUAAUACCGCAUAAGCCCACGGCUCGGCAUCGAGCAGAGGGAAAAGGAGCAAUCCGCUUUGAGAUGGCCUCGCGUCCGAUUAGCUAGUUGGUGAGGUAACGGCCCACCAAGGCGACGAUCGGUAGCCGGACUGAGAGGUUGAACGGCCACAUUGGGACUGAGACACGGCCCAGACUCCUACGGGAGGCAGCAGUGGGGAAUAUUGCACAAUGGGGGGAACCCUGAUGCAGCGACGCCGCGUGGAGGAAGAAGGUCUUCGGAUUGUAAACUCCUGUUGUUGGGGAAGAUAAUGACGGUACCCAACAAGGAAGUGACGGCUAACUACGUGCCAGCAGCCGCGGUAAAACGUAGGUCACAAGCGUUGUCCGGAAUUACUGGGUGUAAAGGGAGCGCAGGCGGGAAGACAAGUUGGAAGUGAAAUCUAUGGGCUCAACCCAUAAACUGCUUUCAAAACUGUUUUUCUUGAGUAGUGCAGAGGUAGGCGGAAUUCCCGGUGUAGCGGUGGAAUGCGUAGAUAUCGGGAGGAACACCAGUGGCGAAGGCGGCCUACUGGGCACCAACUGACGCUGAGGCUCGAAAGUGUGGGUAGCAAACAGGAUUAGAUACCCUGGUAGUCCACACUGUAAACGAUGAUUACUAGGUGUUGGAGGAUUGACCCCUUCAGUGCCGCAGUUAACACAAUAAGUAAUCCACCUGGGGAGUACGACCGCAAGGUUGAAACUCAAAGGAAUUGACGGGGGCCCGCACAAGCAGCGGAGCAUGUGGUU